GAUAAACGCUAGCGGCAGGCUUAACACAUGCAAGUCGAGGGGCAGCAUAGAUUGUAGCAAUACAAUUGGUGGCGACCGGCGCACGGGUGCGUAACGAGUAUGCAACCUACACGUCACAGGGGGAUAAUCAGGAGAAAUCUGGUCUAAUAUACCAUAAUAUAAGGAUCGGCAUCGGUUGCUGUUGAAAUUUUAGGAGGCGACUGAUGGGGAUGCGUUGCAUUAGCUUGUUGGUGAGGUAACGGCUCACCAAGGCGACGAUGCUUAGGGGGACUGAGAGGUUUUCCCCCCACACUGGUACUUAGACACGGACCAGACUCCUACGGGAGGCAGCAGUGAUGAAUAUUGGUCAAUGGGCUCAAGCCUGAACCAGCCAUGCCGCGUGCAGGAUGACGGCUCUAUGAGUUGUAAACUGCUUUUGUACGAGGGUAAAGUGGGUUACGUGUAACCUUUUGAAAUUAUCGUACGAAUAAGGAUCGGCUAACUCCGUGCCAGCCGCCGCAGUAA
RNAcentral lists this ribosomal RNA (504 nucleotides) under uncultured bacterium. Its description in RNAcentral is "partial 16S ribosomal RNA". It matches the Rfam family "Bacterial small subunit ribosomal RNA", at positions 28 to 523 of the family's 1533-position model. The record is from RNAcentral.